UGUAUAUUCUGAAUAAAUUGGUGCAUAAUUUAAUAAUUUCUCCUUGAUAAGUGAGUGUUUGUAUUUUAGCCGGGGGUGUGACCGGAGCCGUGUUCAACCCGGCGCUGGCCUUUUCCACGCAGUUCCCCUGCAGUGGGAACUCAUUCCUGGAGUACUGCUUUGUGUACUGGUUGGGUCCACUUCUGGGUAUGAUGAGCUCAGUGCUUCUCUUUGAUAAACUCACGACUGCAUUUUCA
Molecule: long non-coding RNA, 236 nt
Organism: Gambusia affinis (western mosquitofish)
Lineage: Eukaryota; Metazoa; Chordata; Actinopteri; Cyprinodontiformes; Poeciliidae
Exons: 2
Source: RefSeq, a predicted model, not a curated record